GUGAUGGUGUAGACUAUAUUACAUGGAUUUAUUGUGAUGGUGUAGACUAUAUUACAUGGAUUUAUUGUGAUGGUGUAGACUAUAUUACAUGGAUUUAUUGUGAUGGUGUAGACUAUAUUACAUGGAUGUAUUGUGAUGGUGUAGGUAGACUAUAUUACAUGGAUUUAUUGUGAUGGUGUAGGUAGACUAUAUUACAUGGAUUUAUUGUGAUGGUGUAGGUAGACUAUAUUACAUGGAUUUAUUGUGAUGGUGUAGGUAGACUAUAUUACAUGGAUUUAUUGUGAUGGUGUAGGUAGACUAUAUUACAUGGAUUUAUUGUGAUGGUCUAGACUAUAUUACAUGGAUUUAUUGUGAUGGUGUAGACUAUAUUACAUGGAUUUAUUGUGAUGGUGUAGGUAGAAUAUAUUACAUGGAUUUAUUGUGAUGGUGUAGACUAUAUUACAUGGAUUUAUUGUGAUGGUGUAGGUAGACUAUAUUACAUGGAUUUAUUAGACUUUUUAAGAUGUAGAUGUUCCAAAGGUCUGCAUCAGUGUCUUGUAGGCUGUGUGGAA
Oncorhynchus tshawytscha (Chinook salmon) is the source of this 551-nucleotide long non-coding RNA. The record is from Ensembl. NCBI's taxonomy places the organism in Eukaryota, Metazoa, Chordata, Actinopteri, Salmoniformes, Salmonidae.